GGUUAGCGCGAGGAGGCAGACAUGGGACUUACGCAAUCCUUGAAUGUCCUGUUGGUCAGUGCAGCGUUCGCAUUCGUCGUAUCCAUGCUCUUCAUUUGAGCCGAUGCGAGGCGUCAAAAACUGAGAUACCUACACUCCUGAAUGAUAAAUAACCCCGAACACUGAAAAGCGCAUGCCCCGCCCGGCCAUGCGCUUU
Molecule: small RNA, 196 nt
Filed under: Rhizobium sp. BK275
Lineage: Bacteria; Pseudomonadati; Pseudomonadota; Alphaproteobacteria; Hyphomicrobiales; Rhizobiaceae
Description: Rhizobiales sRNA Atu_C9
Rfam family: Rhizobiales sRNA Atu_C9
Source: Rfam by way of RNAcentral